Long non-coding RNA from Rhincodon typus (whale shark), 1062 nucleotides. RefSeq lists it as uncharacterized. The transcript has 3 exons. NCBI's taxonomy places the organism in Eukaryota, Metazoa, Chordata, Chondrichthyes, Orectolobiformes, Rhincodontidae. The record is from RefSeq and is a predicted model, not a curated record.
UCUGAGCAUGUUCCACAGUAAUAAGCUACAUCCUUUAUGUAGGCCACUGGAACACCUAUUUUGUAGCAGUCCACAAUUUCACUCUAUCCUCAUUUAUCCCACCAUUGUUGUGAGAAGGAGCAGAUAAAUAGCAAAGUGGUUGGAUCCCAGUUCACUGUCCCCCAACCACACUGGAUGAGUCUAAUGUUGAAGAGGUUCUGGCACUGAUGAGUAUUUGCACCUCUGGGGAUGAGUGGAGACAUGCAGCGUAGGCAAUGAGUGUAACUGGAAAUGGUGCAGUUUCCGGUACUUGCUGGAGGUAACCAUCUCAGAAUAACAGAGCUAUUGCUCCUCUCCUGGGCUAUAGGUCGGCCUGGGGCUGCUGGUACACCUGAAAAUGGGGAGAAAAUCAACACAGCAGAUUUAAAUCUCAAUCCAAUGUAGCCUCACUGCCCAGUGAUAAUUCACAAUGCAAACUGGAUUCAAGAUGUCAACAUUUUCUACUAUGUAAAGCAGUGAUUUACCUGGUGACUGUCAACCAAUGAAAUAACACAGCAAUUCUACUUACUUAAUAUCCCAAAUUGGAGGUUCAAAAACAUAUAGGAAAAUUAAGGAGAAAAACUUUUUCAAGGCGAAGAUGUUCAUCAAGCAUUUCAUCAAGCAGUUUGUUAUGAAAAUGAUUUGAAAAGAUUCAGUUACCCUGCACUUUAAUUGUUGCUGAAGAUGAUGUUGAUCCCAUUUCAUUCAGAGCCACACAACUAUAUAUUCCACUGUCUUGAGGCAUGAUAUUGCAAAUUUUAAGCAUAACCUCUCCAGAAUCACUAUAAAAGGAAAUCACAAAUUUAAACUUCUAGCGAAAGGAAAGCUGACCAAAUUUCAUACUCAAUUAUAUAAAUAUGAAUGUUAAUACAGUUCCAUAUAUGAUGAAUCUCAUAUCCAUAAAGUUUUUCAAUUCAAACAAAAUGAGGCUUUUUUGUACACUAAGCCCAUAUUGUCCACAGACCACACACAGUUAUCUUAUUACAGCUUAAGCCAAUUUCAUUUUUUAAAGAAGAAUAAACAUUUUCAUUUCCCAGAAAGAAA